UACAGAGGGUGCGAGCGUUUAAUCGGAAUUACUGGGCGUAAAGCGCACGUAGGCGGCUUGGUAUGUCGGGUGUGAAAUCCCCGGGCUCAACCUGGGAACUGCAUCCGAAACUGCCUUGCUAGAGUAUGGGAGAGGGAAGUGGAAUUUCCGGUGUAGCGGUGAAAUGCGUAGAUAUCGAGAGGAACACCUGCGGCGAAGGCGGAUUGCUGGGCUGAUACUGACGCUGAGGCGCGAAAGCCAGGGGAGCGAACGGG
RNAcentral lists this ribosomal RNA (254 nucleotides) under uncultured bacterium. Its description in RNAcentral is "partial 16S ribosomal RNA". It matches the Rfam family "Bacterial small subunit ribosomal RNA", at positions 524 to 776 of the family's 1533-position model. The record is from RNAcentral.